GACGAACGCUGGCGGCGUGCUUAACACAUGCAAGUCGAACGGAAAGGCCCCUUCGGGGGUACUCGAGUGGCGAACAGGUGCGUAACACGUGAGUAACCUGCCCUUGACUUCGGGAUAACUUCAGGAAACUGGGGCUAAUACCGGAUAGGAAUCCUUGCUGCAUGGUGGGGGUUGGAAAGCUUCGGCGGUUUUGGAUGGACUCGCGGCUUAUCAGCUUGUUGGUGGGGUAGUGGCUUACCAAGGCUUUGACGGGUAGCCGGCCUGAGAGGGCGACCGGCCACAUUGGGACUGAGAUACGGCCCAGACUCCUACGGGAGGCAGCAGUGGGGAAUAUUGCACAAUGGGCGGAAGCCUGAUGCAGCAACGCCGCGUGCGGGAUGACGGCCUUCGGGUUGUAAACCGCUUUCAGCAGGGGCGAAGCUUGUGGUGACGGUACCUGCAGAAGAAGCACCGGCUAACUACGUG
This 465-nucleotide ribosomal RNA is filed under the name uncultured bacterium. RNAcentral describes it as "partial 16S ribosomal RNA". It matches the Rfam family "Bacterial small subunit ribosomal RNA", at positions 28 to 507 of the family's 1533-position model. The record is from RNAcentral.